AACGGCCAUACCAUGCUGAAUAUACCGGUUCUCGUUAGAUCACCGAAGUCAAGCAUCAUUGGGAACGGUCAGUACUUGGGUGGGGGACCACCUGGGAACACCGUGUGCCGUU
RNAcentral lists this ribosomal RNA (112 nucleotides) under Caerostris darwini. Lineage: Eukaryota; Metazoa; Arthropoda; Arachnida; Araneae; Araneidae. The record is from RNAcentral.